RNAcentral lists this ribosomal RNA (599 nucleotides) under Fusarium equiseti. RNAcentral describes it as "eukaryotic LSU rRNA". It matches the Rfam family "Eukaryotic large subunit ribosomal RNA", at positions 1 to 610 of the family's 3401-position model. Lineage: Eukaryota; Fungi; Ascomycota; Sordariomycetes; Hypocreales; Nectriaceae. The record is from RNAcentral.
UUGACCUCGGAUCAGGUAGGAAUACCCGCUGAACUUAAGCAUAUCAAUAAGCGGAGGAAAAGAAACCAACAGGGAUUGCCCUAGUAACGGCGAGUGAAGCGGCAACAGCUCAAAUUUGAAAUCUGGCUCUCGGGCCCGAGUUGUAAUUUGUAGAGGAUGCUUUUGAUGCGGUGCCUUCCGAGUUCCCUGGAACGGGACGCCAUAGAGGGUGAGAGCCCCGUCUGGUUGGAUGCCAAAUCUCUGUAAAGCUCCUUCGACGAGUCGAGUAGUUUGGGAAUGCUGCUCUAAAUGGGAGGUAUAUGUCUUCUAAAGCUAAAUACCGGCCAGAGACCGAUAGCGCACAAGUAGAGUGAUCGAAAGAUGAAAAGCACUUUGAAAAGAGAGUUAAAAAGUACGUGAAAUUGUUGAAAGGGAAGCGUUUAUGACCAGACUUGGGCUUGGUUAAUCAUCUGGGGUUCUCCCCAGUGCACUUUUCCAGUCCAGGCCAGCAUCAGUUUUCGCCGGGGGAUAAAGGCUUCGGGAAUGUGGCUCCCUCCGGGGAGUGUUAUAGCCCGUUGCGUAAUACCCUGGCGGGGACUGAGGUUCGCGCAUCUGCAAGG